RNAcentral lists this ribosomal RNA (497 nucleotides) under uncultured bacterium. Its description in RNAcentral is "partial 16S ribosomal RNA". It matches the Rfam family "Bacterial small subunit ribosomal RNA", at positions 28 to 507 of the family's 1533-position model. The record is from RNAcentral.
GAUGAACGCUGGCGGCGUGCCUAAUACAUGCAAGUCGAGCGAACGGACGAGAAGCUUGCUUUUCUGAUGUUAGCGGCGGACGGGUGAGUAACACGUGGAUAACCUACCUAUAAGACUGGGAUCACUUCGGGAAACCGGAGCUAAUACCGGAUAAUAUUUUGAACCGCAUGGUUCAAAAGUGAAAGACGGUCUUGCUGUCACUUAUAGAUGGAUCCGCGCUGCAUUAGCUAGUUGGUCAGGUAACGGCUUACCAAGGCAACGAUGCAUAGCCGACCUGAGAGGGUGAGCGGCCACACUGGAACUGAGACACGGUCCAGACUCCUACGGGAGGCAGCAGUAGGGAAUCUUCCGCAAUGGGCGAAAGCCUGACGGAGCAACGCCGCGUGAGUGAUGAAGGUCUUCGGAUCGUAAAACUCUGUUAUUAGGGAAGAACAUAUGUGUAAGUAACUGUGCACAUCUUGACGGUACCGAAUCAGAAAGCAACGGCUAACUACGUG